Pseudophryne corroboree (corroboree frog) is the source of this 416-nucleotide long non-coding RNA. RefSeq lists it as uncharacterized. The record is from RefSeq and is a predicted model, not a curated record. Lineage: Eukaryota; Metazoa; Chordata; Amphibia; Anura; Myobatrachidae. The transcript is spliced from 2 exons.
AACGCUGGCUUGACGGACCGGUGACGCGACACUUCCUGUGAGGGGAGUGACGUCAGAUCCGGCACCCGGGCGGCGCGACGGCUGGAGGCGUUGUAAAAAAAAUAAUCAUAACUUUUUCAAAAUGAAGAAAAGAUGCAAAUAAUUCCUUGAAUGGCAUGAAACAUUCAAACUCUUUUUGAAGAAGGCUAUACUCAUCGAAAAAAUUGCUAAAAAAAAGAAAAAAAGAAAAAUGCCACCAUCUAGUGUAACGUAUACAUUAGCUCGAUACAAAGAAACCAGUACAAAUGUGACUAAAGACGACCCAGGUGUACAUCAAAAUGGGAAGAUAAAUACAUUAUCGUAAUGAGUAAGCAAAACGGAAGACUCCCAGCAACUGCAAUAAAAGAACUAAAUAAAAUUAGACAAACUCCAGUUGA